CCAAACUUGGUCAUUUAGAGGAAGUAAAAGUCGUAACAAGGUUUCCGUAGGUGAACCUGCGGAAGGAUCAUUAAAGGGAACGCUGGUCUCACCAGCAUCCUCCAACCCAAUGUGUACCCGCCUUGUUGCCUCGGCGUGCCUGCGCCCGCCAGUGGCGCUGCCGGCUCCGGCUGGAUAGCGCACGCCAGAGGAAUUUCAAACUCCGGCUUCAACGAGUGCAGUCUGAGCUUCAAUCAAAUAAGUUAAAACUUUCAACAACGGAUCUCUUGGUUCUGGCAUCGAUGAAGAACGCAGC
This 295-nucleotide unclassified non-coding RNA is filed under the name uncultured fungus. RNAcentral's name for it is "partial contains small subunit ribosomal RNA, internal transcribed spacer 1, and 5.8S ribosomal RNA". The stretch from base 1 to 73 matches the Rfam family "Eukaryotic small subunit ribosomal RNA", at positions 1759 to 1831 of the family's 1831-position model. Lineage: Eukaryota; Fungi. The record is from RNAcentral.